GAUGAACGCUGGCGGCGUGCUUAACACAUGCAAGUCGAACGAAGCACUCUACUUGAUCUCUUCGGAGUGAUUGUUUUGUGACUGAGUGGCGGACGGGUGAGUAACGCGUGGGUAACCUGCCUCAUACAGGGGGAUAACAGUUGGAAACGACUGCUAAUACCGCAUAAGCGCACAGCAUCGCAUGAUGCAGUGUGAAAAACUCCGGUGGUAUGAGAUGGACCCGCGUCUGAUUAGCCAGUUGGUGGGGUAACGGCCUACCAAAGCGACGAUCAGUAGCCGACCUGAGAGGGUGGCCGGCCACAUUGGGACUGAGACACCGCGCAAACUCCUACGGGAGGCAGCAGUGGGGAAUAUUGCACAAUGGGGGAAACCCUGAUGCAGCGACGCCGCGUGAGCGAAGAAGUAUUUCGGUAUGUAAAGCUCUAUCAGCAGGGAAGAAGAAAUGACGGUACCUGACUAAGAAGCACCGGCUAAAUACGUGCCAGCCGCCGCGGUAA
This 497-nucleotide ribosomal RNA is filed under the name uncultured bacterium. RNAcentral describes it as "partial 16S ribosomal RNA". It matches the Rfam family "Bacterial small subunit ribosomal RNA", at positions 28 to 523 of the family's 1533-position model. The record is from RNAcentral.